CAUUCAAUCUGAAGUUCUACAGUAUAUUCCUGAUCUACUGGUUGGAAAUUCUACCUAAUCAAAAAGAUUUCUAAAGAAAGAAAAUAGUCAUAUCUGCCUAAUUCAAUAUUUAAAAUUUCUCAUACUCAUCUAGAUUCUGAACUAGAAAGAUUCCCAGGUAAAGAAGACAUGAGCGAUCUGCUGUAACUACCUAUGACUAAUGUAAAUAUCUGCAUGAGGUACUUCAAGGCACCAUGGAAAGAUUUCGGUGAUGUCAAUUUAGACACAAUUCCUAAUCAUCAAGAUGUGAAACAGAUUUCAAUGUCUGUUAUCUGAAAUACAGAAAACUGACUUGGCCUGGGAUACUAAGACACAGAAGAAUGCUACCAUGUUAUGAUAAUUGGAGGCAAACGCCAGUUAUUUUUUUUUAA
Molecule: long non-coding RNA, 410 nt
Organism: Canis lupus familiaris (dog)
Lineage: Eukaryota; Metazoa; Chordata; Mammalia; Carnivora; Canidae
Exons: 3
Source: RefSeq, a predicted model, not a curated record